GGGGGGGCUGAGUAAACAACUCCUAACCCAUGUGAAACCUACCUUUGUUGCCUCGGCAGGUCUGCAACUUACCCUGAGGGUACCUACCCUGUAGGUACCUUACCCGGUAGUUGCGGGCAUAACCUGCCGGUGGUCUACUAAACUCUGUUUACUAUGUCAUUCUGAAUAAUAUAACUAAAUAAGUUAAAACUUUCAACAACGGAUCUCUUGGUUCUGGCAUCGAUGAAGAACGCAGCGAAAUGCGAUAAGUAAUGUGAAUUGCAGAAUUCAGUGAAUCAUCGAAUCUUUGAACGCACAUUGCGCCCAUUAGUAUUCUAGUGGGCAUGCCUGUUCGAGCGUCAUUUCAACCCUUAAGCCCUGUUGCUUAGCGUUGGGAGCCUACAGAUACCCUCUGUAGUUCCUUAAAGUUAGUGGCGGAGUCGGUUUCACACUCUAGACGUAGUAAAUUUUAUCUCGCCUAUAGAUGAGCCGGUCCCUUGCCGUAAAACCCCCUAAUUUCUAAAGGUUGACCUCGGAUCAGGUAGGAAUACCCGCUGAACUUAAGCAUAUCAAUAAGCGGAGGAA
RNAcentral lists this ribosomal RNA (564 nucleotides) under Xylaria venosula. Its description in RNAcentral is "eukaryotic LSU rRNA". The stretch from base 188 to 341 matches the Rfam family "5.8S ribosomal RNA". Lineage: Eukaryota; Fungi; Ascomycota; Sordariomycetes; Xylariales; Xylariaceae. The record is from RNAcentral.